Salvia miltiorrhiza (redroot sage) is the source of this 1128-nucleotide long non-coding RNA. RefSeq lists it as uncharacterized. NCBI's taxonomy places the organism in Eukaryota, Viridiplantae, Streptophyta, Magnoliopsida, Lamiales, Lamiaceae. The transcript is spliced from 2 exons. The record is from RefSeq and is a predicted model, not a curated record.
UCUUAGAAAAGCAGACAAGAUAGAGGAAUUGCAGGUAAUUAUACUAUCUUAAUUAUGAUGCUUAAUUCAACACAUAUAAACUGCCUUGUACAAUAAUGCAUUCAUAUCAUAGACUGUAUUAUCUCUAUUAAUAACACUAGUGAACUCUUAUUGGCUUAAAUCCUCUUACGUUGAACAUUUCAUUAUGCCACCUAAUGAUGAAUUAAUCAGCUUAUCAUUUCUUAAACCUUAUUAUUGAGUUUUCGUUGUCGGAGUGGUUGAGAAAUAAUGAGGGAUAAUUAUUGAAUGAAGAAGAAGAAUAAGACAAGAUAAUGUGCUGCCUUGUUGAUAAUAAAACAAUUCGUGUGAUAGAAAACAUAUUAGUAUUUCAAAUAUUGUUUAUGAAUAAAUUGUCUUGUUCAUGCAAGCUACCACAUGUUCACGCGUAAAGAUGCCUCGAUGAGAUUGAAUUCUAUUUAAAAAUUGAAAAACAAAGACUUAGAAGUUAGAUCUACAGAUAAAUUUUGUCAACUCUUGUUCAAUUUGCACCAAUUAAUUCUUGUUAAGUUUGCAGCAAUUCUCACUCUCUCUCUCUCUGUCUCUCACACACACACACACAUAGCCAAUUUUGUGAACUCUUGUUCAGUUUGCAUCAAUUCUCUCCCUCUCUCACACACACAUCCACAUAGCCAAUUUUGUGAACUCUUGUUUAGUUUGCAUCAAUUCUCUCUCUCUCACACACACAUCCACAUAGCAAAUUUUGUGAACUCUUGUUUAGUUUGCACCAAUUCUCUCUCUCACACACAUCCACAUAGCAAAUUUUGCAAACUCUUAUUAAGAAAGUGUUUGCAGAAACAGAUCUUCUUGGAAAAGCAGACAAGCUUAGUCUCUGGAGUUUUGUUUUUGACAGGGAACUGUGUUAUUGAAGUUAAAGCCGAGUAGGGAAGGUGAGGAUGAAUUUCGAUUCUGUAGUGAAAUUUGAGAUUUUUCUUUUUUUCCUCUAUUUUUGGUGUUUCCUUUUGUACUAAUUGACAUGUUUGCCUAUAGAAAUCAAUCAUUUCCUCGUGUGAUAUGUACUAUAUUCAAUCGUGGGGAAAGAUUCAACACACUUUUAAAACAAGUAGUGAAAGUUUAGAUUUGGUGAUCUUA